Molecule: long non-coding RNA, 426 nt
Organism: Lotus japonicus
Lineage: Eukaryota; Viridiplantae; Streptophyta; Magnoliopsida; Fabales; Fabaceae
Exons: 2
Source: RefSeq, a predicted model, not a curated record
AUUCUUGCAAAACACAUUGAUUCUCAAAAAAAUACUUCAUUCUCAGGCGCACAAUGGCAGUUAAAGUUUCAUAUUUGUUUCUUUGCUUCACAGUUUUAUUUCUCAUCACAUCUGAACAUGGUUUUAAGGCCCAGGUCAGUGCAUACGAAGUGGUCUGCAAAAGUAAUAAGGAUUGUUUCGAUCAUUUGAUAUGCCCCGGUAAUUGUCUUGCGAAAUGCUUUCAAGGAGUAUGUGAAUGCCAUUGUGGUCAUCCGCCAAAAGAACAUGUUUGAUAACAAAAAUAUUAAGCAGAAUAAAGUUAUGAUGAGGCUCAUUUUAUGGUUCAAAACAAUAAUUCAAUGUCUCUAAAACUAUUUAUUGUAAUAAGAGGUUGAAAUGUUGAGAUAAUUAGGUAUAUCAAAUAUAUCAUCCUCAAAUACUUCCAUG